UACGGAGGGGGCUAGCGUUGUUCGGAAUUACUGGGCGUAAAGCGCACGUAGGCGGACUAUUAAGUCAGGGGUGAAAUCCCGGGGCUCAACCCCGGAACUGCCUUUGAUACUGGUAGUCUCGAGUCCGGAAGAGGUGAGUGGAAUUCCGAGUGUAGAGGUGAAAUUCGUAGAUAUUCGGAGGAACACCAGUGGCGAAGGCGGCUCACUGGUCCGGUACUGACGCUGAGGUGCGAAAGCGUGGGGAGCAAACAGG
Molecule: ribosomal RNA, 253 nt
Filed under: uncultured bacterium
Lineage: Bacteria
Description: partial 16S ribosomal RNA
Rfam family: Bacterial small subunit ribosomal RNA
Source: RNAcentral